UACAGAGGGGGCAAGCGUUAUUCGGAAUUAUUGGGCGUAAAGGGCGCGUAGGCGGCAUGGCAAGUGGAAGGUGAAAUCCCUCGGCUUAACCGAGGAACUGCCCUCCAAACUGCUUUGCUUGAGUCCGGGAGAGGUGAGUGGAACUGCGAGUGUAGAGGUGAAAUUCGUAGAUAUUCGCAAGAACACCAGUGGCGAAGGCGGCUCACUGGCCCGGUACUGACGCUGAGGUGCGAAAGCGUGGGGAGCAAACAGG
This 253-nucleotide ribosomal RNA is filed under the name uncultured bacterium. RNAcentral describes it as "partial 16S ribosomal RNA". It matches the Rfam family "Bacterial small subunit ribosomal RNA", at positions 524 to 776 of the family's 1533-position model. The record is from RNAcentral.